AGAGUUUGAUCCUGGCUCAGGAUGAACGCCGGCGGCGUGCCUAAUACAUGCAAGUCGAACGAGAAGUCACGACUUCGGUUGUGAUGGAGAGUGGCGCACGGGUGCGUAACACGUAGCUGACCUGCCCUUCGCAGGGGGAUAACACAGCGAAAGUUGUGCUAAUACCGCGUAAGCUGGUGCUAGUUAGAGCGGCAUCAGUAAAGAGUUAUCGGCGAAGGAGGGGGCUGCGGUCCAUCAGCUUGUUGGUGAGGUAACAGCUCACCAAGGCGAAGACGGAUAGGGGGCCUGAGAGGGUGACCCCCCACACUGGAACUGAGACACGGUCCAGACUCCUACGGGAGGCAGCAGUAAGGAAUAUUGCACAAUGGGCGCAAGCCUGAUGCAGCAACGCCGCGUGAGGGAUGAAGGGUUUCGGCUCGUAAACCUCUUUUCUGUGUGAAGAGCAAGGACGGUAGCACAGGAAUAAGUCUCGGCUAACUACGUGCCAGCAGCCGCGGUAAAACGUAGGAGGCGAGCGUUAUCCGGAAUUACUGGGCGUAAAGCGCACGUAGGCGGCGCGCAAAGUGGUGCGUGAAAGCUCCCGGCUCAACUGGGAGAGGACGUACCAAACUGGCGUGCUAGAGAGAGAUAGAGGUCGACAGAAUUCCGGGUGGAGUGGUGAAAUGCGUAGAGAUCCGGA
Molecule: ribosomal RNA, 679 nt
Filed under: uncultured bacterium
Lineage: Bacteria
Description: bacterial SSU rRNA
Rfam family: Bacterial small subunit ribosomal RNA
Source: RNAcentral